RNA transcript from Passer montanus (Eurasian tree sparrow), 3367 nucleotides. It is a transcript of the gene named FAST kinase domains 3, with no coding region annotated. The record is from RefSeq and is a predicted model, not a curated record. The transcript is spliced from 8 exons. Lineage: Eukaryota; Metazoa; Chordata; Aves; Passeriformes; Passeridae.
CCGAAGCGAAGCGCCAGCCCCCGCUGCGCUGGUGCCCGGGCAGCGCGGGAGGAGGCCGGGCCGGGCGGAGCGGGGCGGGCCGGGCCGAGGCGCCGGAAGGUCCCGGCAGGCGCCGCGCUGCCCGUGAUGGCUGCCGAGGUGUCAUUUCAGAAUUCACUUGAUUCAAUAUGGCUUUGAUUAGCCGAAAAGGCUUCCAGUUGUAUUCAUCCAGCACACCAGCAAGCAGGUCUGCUUUGAUGACCCUAAGCAAAAGGUUGAACUCCAUCAGUGGGCAGCGAAAACCCCAAAACUAUAGCUCCGUGGCCAUGAGGAUGCUGUGUGUCAAAGAUAAAUCUCAGUAUACGUUUUGUAGGAAAAAACAUGUACAACUGCAAGUGCAGCCACUUUCUGUUAAUGAAGCUGUGCAUCUUUGUGGAGAUAUGAUGAACUGUACUAAAUCAAAUAAUGUGUGGAUGGAUGAACAAUUAUUUUUCAAGAAGUUGAACAACCUUUGUACAUCAAAAGAGAUUUUUUAUUUUCUUAGCUCUCUAGAGGUCAUGUCUGAUACAAUGGCCUCAGGAGCCCUGCAGAAGAUUUCUGAAGUUGAGGUGGAUGACAAUGGUCUUAAAAACCCUGGACUGUUAGAGAAUGAAGUUUUCAGGGCAUUAUGCUUCCAGUUUGAAUUUGAAUCCUCAAAACUGUCAAACACGGGGCUGCUGAAUGCCUUGCAGGCUUUGAUAAAACUCCGUAUAGAUCCGCAGAGCACGCUGAUGACAAGCCUGCUUUUGGAGAGCGAGGAGCGGCUUGGCAGGGGACAGCUGACUGCUGAAAAUCUGUGUGCUCUUGGAGAGAGUUUGCUUGAGUUAGAAGCCCCAAGUUGUGCGACACUGGAACAAAUUGUGAACCACAUGCAAGAAAGAGAUAUGAAGAGUUGGAGUCCCAGGGAAAUAGUGAUGGUUUAUAGGAUACUGCAGGUGACUGUGAAGGAAGGGAAACAAUGCCAAAAGUUACUAAACAGACUGAACAGUGUCACUUUACGCACAGUUUCCCAACUAAGCCCAAACUCUGUAAGUGUAAUACUGAAUUCACUGGUAGUUCUUCAUCAGACUCGAGCAGUUGUCUUAGUCACUGCACUGUGUAAACAUUCAGAGAAGCAUGUUCCCUAUUUCACAGAUCAUGAACUGGUAAAUGUACUGGAAGCUUUCCUGUACUUUGGGCAAAAAAUGCAAAUUUUUACAGAGGCACUGGAAAGACAUGUCCCCAAGUCCAUCCACGCUAUGCAUCCUCAAACGGUCAGCAAGGUCAUGCAGUAUUGCUGCAAAAAGAUGAUCCUUUCAAAGCCCAUCUUUGAUGCAGUGGCAGAAGAUUUCAUUUCCAGUGCUGACAGACUUACCACUGAGCAGAUUGCUGCGUAUAUUAUCCCGUUUGGGACUCUUAACUAUCUGCCUCCAAGUGCUUCUUCCUUGUUUAGGAAGCUUGAAACUGUGCUGCACACCCGCCUGAGGCACUUUCAGCCCCACACCUUGCUCAGCCUGCUACACUCGUGUGUCCUUAUUCAACGUUAUCCAAUAAAUUUCCUGCCAAAAAUAUUUAGUCCCUAUUUUCUGCAAAAGCUUCAAGCUCAGCCACCUGGUCUGAACAGAGUUGUUAUGUCCCAGCUAACCCAGCUUUUUCUGACUGUCACCCUGGAGUGCCCAUUUUAUGAGGGUCCAAAACUCCUUUCUAAGUACCAGGUAAAGGCCUUUCCCACGCCUCAGAGUUCUCCUGAUGUUCAUCUCUUUAAAAGAGUGAAGACGGGAUUACUUUAUUUACUGAAAAAAAGAAUAUAUUUUGCAUCAGAGGUAUCAACACCGUAUUUCUAUGUAGUUGAUAUUGAGAUUAAAUUAGAUGAAGAAGGUUUUGUAUUGCCUGCGGCCCAACUUGAAGAGGUACACAGACGAAUUGCCCUGUGUGUUGAUGGUCAAAAUAGAUUUUGUGCUCAUAGUCACAAUCUCUUGGGAGAAGAAGCUAUUAAACAGAGACAUCUUCAGUUACUUGGUUAUGAAGUUGUGCAGAUUCCAUUUUUUGAGAUAGAAAAUCUAAAAAAUACCACAAAAAUAGCAGAUUAUCUACACAAAAAAAUCUUUCCUUGUACAUAUGGACUCAGCAACUGACACUGGAGAAUACUACUGGACAACAGGCUGACCUAUACUACAAAGUGUAAAUUCUGUGCAUGGAAGAAAAGCUAUUUUUUUCUAAGUAACUCCACCUCAGAAAAUCAAGCAAGAAAUUGAAGAAGAGCGGAAAUGGCUUUGCAAACGUUUAUGAGAACUUAUCAAUAAUACAGAAGAAAUUGUCAGGGUGUUCUUUUGACACUGAGCACUGAAGGAAGAAGUGAACUAUUCAGAACUGAAUGAGAAACAAGUAGUGGGAAGAACAGUCUGUGAAAGAUCUUCAAAAGUGAGUAGGGAUGAGAAGGGUAUGACACAAGCAAAUAAAUUAUUUAGGAAAACUCAAACUGGUGUUUUGAUGUUUGACUUCCUCUGUGGUGGAAGUGAUACCUGUUUCUCACACAGGCCAGAAGGUGGUGCUAUUUUCAAACAAAUUUCAUUUCCAAUAGUUUUUCAAACACAGAUGGUUUGUAAAUAUAGUAAGGCUACUUCAAAAAAAGCAAUUUGUACUGACUGUCCCAAAGUAAAAAUAACCUGCUAAGAAUAUGGCCAUAUUCAAUCUCAUUCUUCACUAGUAUAACUUUGAUAUUGAUUUUUGGAAAAGCAGUAUGGUAUUAGAAAACAUUUCCUUCUCCCUUUGUUCUUCGUAUGAUUCCUUUCAUUUAAUGCUGCUGAAUUUGUUUAGUGAAGUAUUUAUAUUUGAAAAGGAAUGUAGCCUUUAAUGUCCUUUUGUCCAUAGCCCAUUGAGUGUAGAAGAACUGCAGGUCGUGAAUAAUGAAAGUAACAAACAUCUCUCAGAAUGGGCUGCUCUCUGUGCUCUGCUUCUCACAUCAUGUCAAACAAGUGCUACUGAUUGCCUAAUUUAUUACUUUUUCAGGUUCCAGAUUUAGAAGGUUUUUGUUUCUUUAUUUUUUCUUUCCACUAGAUGUCUCACUGUAUUUACAAAUAACAGAUUUCCUGUGUCCAAAUACCUGACAAAACCAGUGUCAGUCACAGCUGUGGACUUCCAGUCCUUUUUCUGGUAUGAUCACUUUGGCUGUUCCUUUCUGAACAAUACUGCCUCAGCCUUAAACAACAACAGGAUCAAUGGCUCUUGAGAACCAAACUGAUGCAUACUCUGCAGGAGACACUUCUAAAAUUACCUUAAAAUUUUAGUACUGGAUUCUGUGAAAGCACAAGGCAUCAAAUGUUUCAUCAGAUUUAGACAUUUGUGCUAAACAUGCUUUUUAAAUGGCUAC